RNAcentral lists this transfer RNA (69 nucleotides) under Mellivora capensis (ratel). Its description in RNAcentral is "tRNA-Glu". Lineage: Eukaryota; Metazoa; Chordata; Mammalia; Carnivora; Mustelidae. The record is from RNAcentral.
GUUCUUAUAGUUGAAACACAACGGUGAUUUUUCAUGUCACUAGUCAUGGUCAGAUUCCAUGUAGGAAUA